This 403-nucleotide ribosomal RNA is filed under the name uncultured prokaryote. RNAcentral describes it as "bacterial SSU rRNA". It matches the Rfam family "Bacterial small subunit ribosomal RNA", at positions 355 to 774 of the family's 1533-position model. The record is from RNAcentral.
UAGGGAAUUUUGCGCAAUGGGCGAAAGCCUGACGCAGCAACACCGCGUGAGGGAUGAAGCUUUUUGGAGUGUAAACCUCUGUCAGUGGGGACGAAACCUGACGGUACCCACAAAGGAAGCAUCGGCUAACUACGUGCCAGCAGCCGCGGUAAGACGUAGGAUGCAAGCGUUGUCCGGAAUCAUUGGGCGUAAAGAGUUCGUAGGCGGUGUAUCAAGUCUGGUGUUAAAGCCCGGAGCUCAACUCCGGUUCGGCACUGGAUACUGGUAUGCUAGAGUGCAGUAGAGGCAAGGGGAAUUCCCAGUGUAGCGGUGAAAUGCGUAGAUAUUGGGAGGAACACCAGUGGCGUAAGCGCCUUGCUGGGCUGUUACUGACGCUGAGGAACGAAAGCCAGGGGAGCAAAUG